Non-coding RNA from Homo sapiens (human), 46 nucleotides. NCBI's taxonomy places the organism in Eukaryota, Metazoa, Chordata, Mammalia, Primates, Hominidae. The record is from Rfam.
AAAAUGGCUUUUUAGUAAAGCCAUUUACUUUUUCUAAAAAAGUUUU